Molecule: transfer RNA, 73 nt
Filed under: Antrostomus carolinensis (chuck-will's-widow)
Lineage: Eukaryota; Metazoa; Chordata; Aves; Caprimulgiformes; Caprimulgidae
Description: Caprimulgus carolinensis (chuck-will's-widow) tRNA
Rfam family: tRNA
About the family: Transfer RNA (tRNA) molecules are approximately 80 nucleotides in length. Their secondary structure includes four short double-helical elements and three loops (D, anti-codon, and T loops). Further hydrogen bonds mediate the characteristic L-shaped molecular structure. tRNAs have two regions of fundamental functional importance: the anti-codon, which is responsible for specific mRNA codon recognition, and the 3' end, to which the tRNAs corresponding amino acid is attached (by aminoacyl-tRNA synthetases). tRNAs cope with the degeneracy of the genetic code in two manners: having more than one tRNA (with a specific anti-codon) for a particular amino acid; and 'wobble' base-pairing, i.e. permitting non-standard base-pairing at the 3rd anti-codon position.
Source: Rfam by way of RNAcentral
UCCCAGCUAGCUCAGUCGGUAGAGCAUGAGAACCUAAAUCUCAGGGUCAUGGGUUUGAGUCCCACGUUGGGUG